Long non-coding RNA from Gossypium raimondii (Peruvian cotton), 894 nucleotides. RefSeq lists it as uncharacterized. The record is from RefSeq and is a predicted model, not a curated record. Lineage: Eukaryota; Viridiplantae; Streptophyta; Magnoliopsida; Malvales; Malvaceae. The transcript has 2 exons.
UACAAAUCCAAGAUCCAUGAACCCUUUUACUUCUUCCAGUUCCAAGUCUUUCAAGCUCCUACAACUCGUGGAUUUUUGCAGUUUGCAUUGAUGGUUAAUCCUCUGAUGUUUAUGAGUCGAUUGAGAUGGAGAAUGUGAACGACUAAGAUGAUAAAGAGAGGCUUGAAGAUGAUGAGCUUGUAGUGGUAGAUUCUGAGAGGGGCUGCUUUGGUUCGAGGGGGAAAUAUGGUGAAAAGGGGUCUGGGACAAGAAUAAUCUGUUGAAACCAGAGACGAUCCAUGGCUCCUACGAGACAUAAAGAGAGGUUAUUAGCCAUUGAGAAAAAAGGGGGAGGGGGGGGGGGAUACAUAGAGGGAGAGAGGGUUAUUUAUCAGCAUCAGUUUAGGGGUUGUAUGGUGUUGAAAGAAUAAGGAAAAGCAUUGGAAUAUAGAAGUGGUGGAACCUUUGGGCAGUGGAAGAUGUGGUGAUGGCCAUGGAUUCAUCCAACUCCACAUCUUUUCACAAGAGACCCAUAUACAUGAUGUGGAUACUAUUUGUUGCAGUCAUGUUGAUUCUCUAUGUCAUAAUAGUGGACCACCAAGGGGGACUCUGAACCAACCCGGGACAAGCAGGUGGUAUCAACUCUCGUAAUCGCCCAUUGUCAAAUAUAAUCUGCUUUCUAAUUGAAGCUCCAGUCAGGACAAAUCAUGGACAGUGAACCGAAAUAAUCCAGCAACUCAUAACUCACGACUCACAAACGUCUCUUUAAACAUUGCAAUAUCCGCUUUAUGUUAGCUUGAAGAUUAUAUCUUCUAUACACACACAAAUAAUUAACGUAAAUUAUUUUAAUAUUAAUUUAAUAUGUAAUUUUAUACAUGAACUUCGAUUUUAUAUAUAAACUUUGAUUUUGUAUAA